This 378-nucleotide ribosomal RNA is filed under the name Triticum aestivum (bread wheat). Its description in RNAcentral is "partial small subunit ribosomal RNA". The record is from RNAcentral. Lineage: Eukaryota; Viridiplantae; Streptophyta; Magnoliopsida; Poales; Poaceae.
AUGCCUCCGACAGUCAAAAGUAAUAAUGCACAGUUGCAUUCUAUUUCAGACCUCAUUGAUACUGCUAAUUGGUCGUGGAAAUCGGAUGUGAUCCGUCAAAACUUCAUCACUCCUGACGCAGAUGCUAUUCUUAACAUCCCUCUGAGGCGAGGUGGGGGCGAUGAUGUGCUUGUGUGGGCUCUUGAAAUAUCGGGCUGCUAUACUAUAAAAUCAGCAUAUCAUGCUCUAAUGACUCAUAACGAGCAUCUUGCUCUAGAGGAAGGGACGACCAUCGAAGCUUCAUCGACAAACAAAUAGUUAUGGUCCCGAUUAUGAAAGCUCAAGGUUUUGCCAAGGGUGAGAGUGUUUUGGUGGCGGGUCUUGCAUUCUUCCGGUUGA